GUUAAAAAAGUAUGACUCUAUAAAUUUUAGACCGUGAGGCCAAACUUGGCAUGUGAUACCUUUUCGGAAAGCCCAAAGAGAGCUCUCCGAUGAAUGAGGAAGCACAAUGGAAUUCUUCUAUUUGUUUUUUUGUACUCCAAAUUUUGACCUUAAUGUACUUUUUCAGGCCUUAUGUGAUCUUUGCUAUAUUACGAGGCAAAAAUUAUAUGUUCGGACAUUGUUUUUAAAUAUUUUGCGUUUAUCAAAGCUCAUAUAAACAAGAUAGGGUAUUCCUACAUAGCUGGUAGGACCCACGGAAAAUGGAUCAUAAAGUCUUCAAAAAAGAAUAAAUACGAUUGCAUUGCAUGUAGUAACGGAUGCGAUCAUACCAGCAUUAAUGCACGGGAUCCCAUCAGAACUCUGCAGUUAAGCGUGCUUGGGCGAGAGUUGUACUAGGAUGGGUGACCUCCAGGAAAGUCCUCGUGUUGCAUCCCUCUUUUUUUCUCGGUUUUUCUCUUUUUUGUUUUGUUAAAAGUAUAUGACUCUAUAACUUUUAGACCGUGAGGCCAAACUUGGCAUGUGAUACCUUUUCGGAAAGCCCAAAGAGAGCUCUCCAUUUAAUGAGGAAGGAAAAUGGAAUUCUUCUAUUGUUUUUUUUUCUAAUCCAAAUUUUGACCUUAAUGUACUUUUUCGUGCCUUUUCGUGAUCUUUGCUAUAUUACGGGGCAAAAAUUAUG
RNAcentral lists this small RNA (715 nucleotides) under Arabidopsis thaliana (thale cress). The record is from RNAcentral. Lineage: Eukaryota; Viridiplantae; Streptophyta; Magnoliopsida; Brassicales; Brassicaceae.